Molecule: ribosomal RNA, 94 nt
Filed under: Staphylococcus aureus
Lineage: Bacteria; Bacillati; Bacillota; Bacilli; Caryophanales; Staphylococcaceae
Also listed under: 1 other name
Description: partial 23S ribosomal RNA
Rfam family: Bacterial large subunit ribosomal RNA
Source: RNAcentral
GAUUAAGUUAUUAAGGGCGCACGGUGGAUGCCUUGGCACUAGAAGCCGAUGAAGGACGUUACUAACGACGAUAUGCUUUGGGGAGCUGUAAGUA